Molecule: transfer RNA, 91 nt
Filed under: Shewanella benthica
Lineage: Bacteria; Pseudomonadati; Pseudomonadota; Gammaproteobacteria; Alteromonadales; Shewanellaceae
Also listed under: 12 other names
Description: tRNA-Ser
Rfam family: tRNA
About the family: Transfer RNA (tRNA) molecules are approximately 80 nucleotides in length. Their secondary structure includes four short double-helical elements and three loops (D, anti-codon, and T loops). Further hydrogen bonds mediate the characteristic L-shaped molecular structure. tRNAs have two regions of fundamental functional importance: the anti-codon, which is responsible for specific mRNA codon recognition, and the 3' end, to which the tRNAs corresponding amino acid is attached (by aminoacyl-tRNA synthetases). tRNAs cope with the degeneracy of the genetic code in two manners: having more than one tRNA (with a specific anti-codon) for a particular amino acid; and 'wobble' base-pairing, i.e. permitting non-standard base-pairing at the 3rd anti-codon position.
Source: RNAcentral
GGUGAGUUGGCUGAGUGGCUGAAGGCGCACGCCUGGAAAGUGUGUAUGGGUUUAUAGCCCAUCUAGGGUUCGAACCCCUAACUCACCGCCA